RNAcentral lists this long non-coding RNA (2002 nucleotides) under Salmo salar (Atlantic salmon). RNAcentral's name for it is "lncRNA (ENSSSAG00000119770.1)". Lineage: Eukaryota; Metazoa; Chordata; Actinopteri; Salmoniformes; Salmonidae. The record is from RNAcentral.
CUGACUUUUAUGAAAUGCCUACGUUUUUCUUGUGAAUGUGUUAUGUAUGGGUUAUGAAGGUGUCAUGACAUCAUUAUGUAGGUACCCUUGAAAUAAAGUGUUACAUACCCCUCUCUCAAACAGAAAAGCAACAUUGGCAUCUUUCCUUAUUUUCUAUUUCCUCUGUGUUAGAUCUUAGCUAUAGCAUGCUGAGUUUUCCUUGGCUUGUCACCCUCUUCCUGUGUAAAGGCUGUUGUUGGAAACAUUAAGUAGGUCAACGGCAGCAAUAGAAAAUAGGAAGCUGCUUUUCUCUGUCAGUUUCUUGGCUUUGUUGGCGGGCCAAACAAGCAAAGAAUGGGCUCAUCAAAACACGUUCCCCCACCUCGCGGCCGGCCACCCUCCCGGCCCUCCUGCGGAGCGUCUCGCCACAGAAACAGAGGCAUUCCAAGGCACGGAAGAAAAGGGAGACGGAAGAGAGGAAGGAGUGCCAGGAGAGGCACUGGAGGACGAAGAGAGAGAGAGAAAGGAGAAAGGAGGAGAGGGCAGCAGCAGCAUAUUGGAGGAUGCCGGGGGGUACUCCGAGGACCAGCCCCUCGUCCCGCCCCCCUCAGUGGACUCUCCUUGCUCUCCGGCGAGCCCCCUGGGGCCCGGCACUCCCACGCCUCCUCCCCCUUUAGAUGCCUUCUUCAGGAGACUAGGGAGUUUGUUCCACUUCAAGGCUGAACCAACCAGAGGAGCCCAGCCGCAGGAGGAACAGCAGCAGGCAGAGGAGGAAGGAGGACAAGAGGAGGAGGAGGAGGAGAAGACAGCAUUAGCAGUGGUGUCUAUUGAGCCAGACCUCUCAGGAAUGACAUGUGGUGCAGAGGUGGACCAGGACCACCGUGACUCUGCCGGGAGGCUGGCGGGAAACAAGGACACUCGGCACACAGAGACAGAGGACAGGAGAGAGGGAGAGUCUGGCUUACCUGGUGUAGCGACGUCCACACGGAGUCAAACGCACACAGACCUGGAGAAACCAGCCUUAGAGGAGACGCAGACGGAAGGCCACAGGGAAGGAUGCGGAGAGGGCGAAGCAGCGGCAGACAGCGGCCCGUUGCGCGAAGGUGAGGCGGAGGUGGAUGAGCGUCAGCGGCGGCUGGCCCUGGCCUGUCCGCCUGUGGUGACGUACGGGACGUACCGUGGCCAGAGAGACAGACGCAGGAUGAUGCACCAGGUGCAGGUGGACUUCCCCAUCUCAGAGGGGGAUGAGGCCCUGCAUGGGAGGGGUUCAACCUCAGGGCGGGAGGGCAGCCCCUUGGGUGGGGUGACACCCUCCGCUUUAGAACUCACCAUUUCAAAGCGGAGUGACAUUCAGACCAUAUCGACCAAUCAGAUUAGCGCUCCAACCUCAGAGACCAAUGAGAGAGGGGCUUGGACUUCCGAAACAGACUCUGCUGUUUUGGGUCCAACUGGACUUGGCUCUAGUCACAUUCCACUAACAACGCAGACAGCAGAAAGGGCUGGGAGUCAAAGCACCUUCCCUUUAUACAGGGAGGCAGGCCUGCCUACUGUAGGAGCUCAGUUCAAGGACUUUCUCUCUGGGGCUGGCUCAGUCACAGUCCCCCCUCCCGCACCCACAGAGGACUUUGUUGAUGCCAGGACUAGUACAGCAGGCAGUGAGACCCACAGUGGGGAGCAGAGCCCCCGGGAUAGAAUCACUCAUGCGGAGAUGGCCAGCGAGGAUACACACAGGGACACAGACAGGGACAGAGACACAGGGCUGAGUGAGCAGACAGAAACCUUAUCUACACACUGUGUCCAGACUGGGUCACCUUCAUUAGCUGCUGCGUGGCUCAGCGAGCCGCCAGGCACCGAGGGGACUGCGCAGCACACUCAUCUGCCUGCUGCUGUUUCCGAUGUCGAUGGAGGCCAGCUGGCUCCGCAUCCCAUUUCACCGUCCGCCUCGCUUGCAUCAGCGGACGAAAGCCAGGGACCCAUGCCAGCAACUAGGCACUCCGAUUCUGGGGAUGUACUGGAUUCAGGC